GAGUUUGAUCGUGGCUCAGGAUGAACGCUAGCGGCAGGCUUAAUACAUGCAAGUCGAGGGGCAGCAUAGUGUAGCAAUACAUGGGUGGCGACCGGCAAACGGGUGCGGAACACGUACAGAACCUUCCUUCGAGCGGGGAAUAGCCCAGAGAAAUUUGGAUUAAUACCCCAUAGGAUAGUGGAGUGGCAUCACUCAGCUAUUAAAGAUUUAUCACUUGAAGAUGGCUGUGCGUCUGAUUAGGUAGUUGGCGGGGUAACGGCCCACCAAGCCAGCGAUCAGUAACUGGUGUGAGAGCACGACCAGUCACACGGGCACUGAGACACGGGCCCGACUCCUACGGGAGGCAGCAGUAAGGAAUAUUGGUCAAUGGACGCAAGUCUGAACCAGCCAUGCCGCGUGGAGGAUGAAGGUCCUCUGGAUUGUAAACUUCUUUUAUCUGGGACGAAAAA
Molecule: ribosomal RNA, 449 nt
Filed under: uncultured Sphingobacterium sp.
Lineage: Bacteria; Pseudomonadati; Bacteroidota; Sphingobacteriia; Sphingobacteriales; Sphingobacteriaceae
Description: bacterial SSU rRNA
Rfam family: Bacterial small subunit ribosomal RNA
Source: RNAcentral